AUGGGCAACAAUGCGACAUUGCUCUUCAGGAUCACUUGGCGCAGCUCAGCCGAGAUGACAAGGUGUCAACAUCCUGUUGGCUGUUGCAAGUAGCCCUCAAAUGUCUAGUGUGGGGUGCAGAAAAUAUGAGGAAGUUUUGUCCUAUAUACUUGUAAAGGGUGCUUUUCACAAGAAUGGUCUUCAACUUUGUCGUAAGGAUUUACAAAGCUGAAAUUCAAAACUCGGGAGUGGCCAGGUGGCGGCAAUGAUUCCAGUUUUUGGCUGGAUUUGCUUCAGUGGUUGGGUUUCUGGUUGACAGGUCUAACCAAGUGGGAAUGAUGGAAUCUUUGCUGCUGGAGUUAUUGGAAAAACAUUUGACAUCUACACUUUCUUGGGGAUCUAUACUUCUGCAAGUAAACCAAGGAUUCGUUUCAGCUGAGGUGCAUUAUGAAUAUGAAGUCGGCCCGUAGAAUGUGCUUCCUUGGGUCCGUGUAGAGACCCAGUUCGCUACGAUGUUCGUGUCCGCUGCAGCGAUGGAAAAUUGUGCAAGACUUAGACUACAUAGAUUCAAGUUGCGUUUACAUUUUACAGUAGAUUGUCUAUUAUUAUGGUUAAAAUAAACAUUAUUGGUACAAAAA
Molecule: long non-coding RNA, 617 nt
Filed under: Daphnia pulicaria
Lineage: Eukaryota; Metazoa; Arthropoda; Branchiopoda; Diplostraca; Daphniidae
Description: uncharacterized LOC124351067, transcript variant X2
Source: RNAcentral